UUCCAGAAAAACGUUAGAACCGGUGUAUAUAGACCAAUAAUGACGCCAAUAAAAUAAUAAUGACCGGGGGUCAUUUUUGAACGGCCGGUCUUUAUUCGAAUGAAUGAAGAAUGACCCCCGGCGUCUCGAAGUUAAAAAAUUACCCUUCAGCCCGUAGAAAAAGUGAAAUCACUCUAAAAAUCUGCAUACCCCAGGUGAAGAGAAGACCCCAGUAGAAUAAUGACCCCUUGUAGAUUAGAGACUAGGCAAAGCUGGGUUUCUCUUUGGUGGACAUGUUUAUCAGAAAAUAGACAAAAUCGUCUUCGGUGGAUCUUUCGGAGAAAUCACGUGCCUGGGUCGCAAUCUGUAUACCAGGAUCACGCCUUUGUUCGGCAAUUGUUCCAAGCGCAUGACAAGAAGUUCUGAAGACAGUCAGAUGGAGACUGUGAUGCCAAACAAACUGUAAAUGGCCAAGAUGGAUGUCUUUAUGAUGGUAUGGUUCUGAAAGUCGAUGAGACCAUCACCAUUCAGGGAACAACAACUGAACUCAUUUGUCU
Molecule: long non-coding RNA, 536 nt
Organism: Saccostrea cuccullata (small rock oyster)
Lineage: Eukaryota; Metazoa; Mollusca; Bivalvia; Ostreida; Ostreidae
Exons: 4
Source: RefSeq, a predicted model, not a curated record